AAACUUAAAGGAAUUGACGGGGACCCGCACAAGCGGUGGAUGAUGUGGAUUAAUUCGAUGCAACGCGAAAAACCUUACCUACCCUUGACAUGUCCGGAAUCCCGAAGAGAUUUGGGAGUGCUCGAAAGAGAGCCGGAACACAGGUGCUGCAUGGCUGUCGUCAGCUCGUGUCGUGAGAUGUUGGGUUAAGUCCCGCAACGAGCGCAACCCUUAUCAUUAGUUGCCAUCAUUCAGUUGGGCACUCUAAUGAGACUGCCGGUGACAAACCGGAGGAAGGUGGGGAUGACGUCAAGUCCUCAUGGCCCUUAUGGGUAGGGCUUCACACGUCAUACAAUGGUCGGUACAGAGGGUUGCCAACCAGCGAGGGGAGCCAAUCUCACAAAGCCGAUCGUAGUCCGGAUCGCAGUCUGCAACUCGACUGCGUGAAGUCGGAAUCGCUAGUAAUCGUGGAUCAGCAUGUCACGGUGAAUACGUUCCCGGGUCUUGUACUACACCGCCCGU
This 501-nucleotide ribosomal RNA is filed under the name uncultured Rhodocyclaceae bacterium. Its description in RNAcentral is "bacterial SSU rRNA". It matches the Rfam family "Bacterial small subunit ribosomal RNA", at positions 897 to 1397 of the family's 1533-position model. The record is from RNAcentral. Lineage: Bacteria; Pseudomonadati; Pseudomonadota; Betaproteobacteria; Rhodocyclales; Rhodocyclaceae.